GAUAAGCCACUUGAGGCUAUAACUCUAUGGGUCCGUGCACCCAUACUCUGUGAACCCUCAGGUUCUAACUCUGUGAACCUUCCGGUUCCAACUCUGGAAACAUGCCCAGCAUAAAUCACAUAGANCUCAAGGUAAAGUAUAGUGAGAAGACUCACCUGGCAAGCAGAAAGCAGAUAUCUCCAUACUUGAAUCUCGAACUCGCCACCGCCUAACACGUAAGGCAAAACUCUCAUGACUAUAACUCUUGAGACUAGAAUCAAUCCUCUCUCAAUGCACCCUCUUAAGGGUAAAAGACUAUUUUACCCCUCUCUUGGCCCAAAGGCCACAUCGCUGACCAAACCCUAAAAGUCAACGGUCAACCCUUGGUCAAAAUCAAAGUCCUCAGUCAAAGUCAACCCCUGACUGACCCUACUCGCCGAGUCAACCCUAUGACUCGCCGAGUUCCCAUAAUCAGAACUUCACUCAAUCUGCGACCUAACUCGCCAAGUCACCCCGAGACUCGCCGAGUCCAACAACUCUAAGUCCACUCACACACCACUCACCGAGUCAUCCAUUGACUCACCGAUUCUCGACUCAACCAGGGAAUAUCGGGACCCUUCGACAAGACUCGCUGAGUUCAAGAACAGACUCGCCGAGUCUAAGGCUGAGUUGUUCAUACAACUCGCCGAGUUCCAGGCCAUCUUCAUCCAACUCGUCGAGUACACCCAUGUGACUCGCCGAGUACCACCGGUCUGAAUCCAUUCAGAAGCAUUCCAGGCCAUGCAAUUGCUCCAAAACAUAGAUCUAGCCUCCUACCACUCAUCCAUCACGUAAAGUGGCAAACUUUACGUGAAUCCAAAGAGAUCUAGGCCAUUUGCACAUUGGGCUAGGGUUUGGGACAUGAAAGCUUCACUAAACACUCCAACACAGGGACUUUCAUGCUCUCUGAUUCUUCUCCCUUCCAGAUCUGAGGUAGCAACCUCAGAUCUAACCUCUAGACUUCCCAUUACAUCCAUAGACAAGUUCCCAUAAACCCCAAAAUGAAGAAACAACAUAACAACAGCCCAAGAACGAGAUAUUACCUCCAAGAGAUGCCCCAACUGCAAUGUAAUUCGAAUCCAAGCAAAGCCCCUUGCUCCAAGCCUUCAAUCUCCCAAAAUUCCUUCAACAAUUAUUUCUCCAAGCUCCAAUCCACUCAACAAUGGUGCUUCACCGCGAUUUAGGGUUUUCUGGGGCUCAAGGGGUGAUAAGGAGGCUGGGAGGAAAACAUCAUGUUCUUUCUAUAGGGCUCAACCCCGAGAAUUAGGGUUUUCUCCAAUCAGCGCCUACUCGUCGAGUCCUCCUCACUGACUCGCCGAGUCGGCUACUUAGCACGCGACCCAGUCGCGACUCUACUCGCCGAGUCCAUCCAUGGACUCGCCGAGUCACUCUUUCACAACUUACUCUUUUAGCCCUUCAACUCUACUCUUGAUAUUUCGGGAUGUUACAAUUCUCCCCCACUUAAAUUAGGCUUCGCCCUCGAAGCCUACGACAACUCAACUCCAAAAUACUCCCGCAACGCGCCACCUGGCUCUAACCCGGCCAGGUUCCUCAAAGCAUAACCAUAGAACUCGAACUCACUUCCUCUUUCCUUACGGUGUCCUGACCACCGUCUCAAACCGGGCACCGACUGUACCCUCUGAUAAUCACACUCAACAAUCGAGAAUUACACGAGAUGCACCACCGCUCCAAAUCUCAACAAUCGCUCGACCCAUAAGGGCUAGAAAGCCAUGAACCAUCGGAUCCCCGAUUCGAAUUCCACUCUAUCCAUUCCGCUGACAGAAAGACCCACUCUUCAAUCUCAGAGCAACUUCCAUGAGUUCUCCUCUCGCAAUCACACACACAUGCUACACCAACCUUCGCACACUCGGUUCAGGAAAACUCGUCACACUGAUGACAUCUCUAACAUCCCCAGGAGGAACCACCACUACGCACACAACCCUUGAUCAUAAUCAAGCUGGGAGUCCCAGACUCCAUCCCUGCAUUCAUCCUGAGACUCUUGGCUCUACACCCGCGGAAUUCCUUCUGCUUCCUCAGCAGACAUCCCAUCAUGAUGUCAUCCCAUACGACUGUCACAGACACAGUGUUCAACCAUCAUACUCCAAAUCAUCCACUCUCACUACUACUUUCACUUCCGUGAACCAACACUUCCCCCCCGGGGGUUACAUACCUUUCUCUUCCCUUGCCUAGGGAAAUCCCCUAGCCAACCUUGCCACUACUCCAUGUAUCACACAUGCUCUGGAUCUUCUCGCAAGGGCCCUCGGGUCCAUGCGCUACCUCCCCCCAACAAAUGAGGGUCCGACACCUCCUCCCACACAACAGCUCAAAGGGUGGCAUACUAAUGCACUAAUGAUGGCUAUUGAUAUAGGAUAACUCAACCAAAGAUAAAUACGUGCUGCAACUCCCUCCGAGAUCUAAUACACAUGCCCGACGCAUGUCUUCGAGCGUCUGAAUCGCUCGCUCGCUCUGAAGUGUCCUCAGACAUCAUCAUGAUAAGAUCUAGCUCACUUCUCAUAUCCCUCUUUGAGACUGAGCACCAGGUCAGCUUUUGACUCCACAGCUGAGCCUCCAAAGGUCACCCAUAUCAUGAUCCAAAUAACCCACUAACUUUCUCCCCGUGACCACUAUCCCGACCCAGGGACGCGCAAGUCACAAAAUUCUCUUUUCCUCAUGCGAGAAAAUACAACCCAACCGAGGAUUGCCUCAACUCUNGCCUCAACUUUGAUCUCUGGUUUCUGCUGCGCAUAUCCCUUGCGCAUCUCGCCUCAUCUCCCGACAGAGACGGAGACCCCAGUCUCGCCCCCGGUUCAGCACUCAGGCUCCAGAACUCAAUACUAGGGCUACUCAAGCCCAAAACUCUUCCACAUCAUACACUGGUCGGAGAUCAUUCCAUCAUCACAUCCUCUUGCCAUCUAGUGAGUACUACGGCUCCCCGCAGUAUCACAACACCCUCUAACUAGUGAGUACUACGGCUCCCCGCAGUAUCACAACACCCUCUGACUAGUGAGUACUACGGCUCCCCGCAGUAUCACAACACCCUCUGACUAGUGAGUACUACGGCUCCCCGCAGUAUCACAACACCCUCUGACUAGUGAGUACUACGGCUCCCCGCAGUAUCACAACACCCUCUGACUAGUGAGUACUAUGGCUCCCCGCAGUAUCACAACACCCUCUGACUCCACUAGCUCAUGCUCCGCAGACUAUCACAGGCAGCUACCCAUACUCGACUCGAAUACACAUUCUAGACUCUGGAAGCAAUCGACAUCUCAAAAUGCCCACCCUUGCGAAGAUCCAUUCUCUUAAUAAUCUCCCUGGAUGCCCAUACUCGAAGGGCUCCCACUAGAUCCGUAGAUACCUGAUACACCACAAGUCGUGUCAACUCAAGAUUCACGAGUAACUCCGAGAUAAAGGUAUCAUACCCGGAUACCUCGGAAUAUCCCAACAAAACAUCACAAGAUCUUGCCACAACCACUGAUUCCCUUACUCCCAACACCAUACACUCACGACGAUACAUUUCCUCUGAAUCCCAUAAAAUUUCUGAUAUCACACGAUGCGCAACUUCAGUGCAUCCAACACUCAAUUGGAAUACAAGGAAGGCGCUAACCCUAUAGAACACACUGAUGAUCCUUCGAAACCCUUUCCACUACUACUCAAAAUUCAAGCAAGAAUACACAUCCUAGCCCGGGAAUUGGCUACUCGAUAAACUACUACCCAUAUCUCAACCCAUAAGUUCUCAACUGCCCAUACCAUCAUUACGAGCCUUCCACUCGAGACGACUCUGACCACCAUCAGAUUCCUGAUCAUUGACCACCCGCCGUGGAGACACCCAUCCUUCUCUUAGACAUAUAUCACAUGCAUUAUCUCGCCCUGCACCUUUCCUUAAUCACCAAUGACCCUGAUCUCAUGAAUUCAAGCCGCAGGUUCUGCAUCCAACCCCUAACCGCUNACCCUGAUCUCUUGAAUUCAAGCUGCAGGUUUUGCAUCCAACCCCUAACCGCUCUUGCACAAAUCUCUGGUUCUCUCAAUAAACCACCCGGUUCUCCCCCACUUAGGGUUCGAACCAUCACUAUCUGACACAUCAACAACCUCACGAACUAUUUUCACCAGCAAUAACGCACCUGCCCCUGGAAAGUGCUACGCAACGCCCGAUAAUCCCCUUUAAGGAAAUCAAUCGAUCUCAUAACUCUGAACCUCAGAUGAAAUCCUCAAGAACUUCUCGUCACGACUGCCUCUAGUCGUUCCAAGUCUCGUACCAAUCCAAUACCAAACAACUCAACUGUCCAAUAACAUCACUGACUCAUAGACUGGACCACGAAAUCAUCAUACUCCCCCACCUCGACUCAUCAACCGACGUUCCAACACAUGGAUCAUCCCAAGAACAGGGACCCACUCCCAUAUUCAAUACCCAACAUAGAUAGAAAAACCACUGCACUGAUUAACUCGACUGGACUCCCCACUGAUACCUCUACAAUACGCCCUACUAUACUCAAAUAGGCGUAACGUGGUCCUUGACUAUCUCAGUCCCAACUGACUAUCUGCUCAUGGUAAAUCACUGUCUCGCAGCACACAUGCUACCUGAUACUCUGGUGGGAAAUCAUCAUCAAUGACAACCUGCAGGGUUUUACCCCUAAACCCGAAACAUAAACAUCAGGCCUCUCAUGUCCCGCACACGAACAUAAAUAGCACCACUCACAUAGAAGGUGGCAUCUCCUCUAUCGAUUGAUUGCUCAUCUCAUACCAAAAUUCUCCCCUCCCUCUAACUCCUUACCAAAAUACUCUGAUAUGCUCUCGACCUCCCUCUCAAGGGACACCUCUUCGAACUCAAUCAUGGCCCACAGGCCUAAAACCCAUAGCGUCCAAUCUCUACCUCAUCAAUCGUGACCGGAUAACCGGAGAACCACAAGCAUCAUUCACUACGAACCAUGGUACUCAUCCCAUGACAUCUCUUCUCAAUAUGCUCCGGUGUAUGGUACCCGAACCAUAGCAUCACUCCUCCAUCUGCUCCGAUGUAUGAUACUCGAACCAUAACAUCACUCCUCAAUCUGUUCUGAUGUAUGGUACUCGAACCAUACAUCACUCCUUAAUGCGCUCAUUAGAAUCUUCAGAAUACUCCCUGUAUCAAGUAUGGGUCCUCUGCUUUCAGUAGUACGGGCCCAUACUACCUUCCACAUCUACCCAUACUUUCCACACGGACUAUCCCGGAGCUCCUAAGUAGCUGCUCGACCUUCUCGUUCACCAAUUCCAUCGCGCGCUCGCUCCCCAGCGAAAUUCUCUACCCUGCCAGUGCACUCAUCUGGCUAAGGUUACUCCCUAGGCUCUUCUUAGAUUCCCACACUUCUCUGCCAUCAGCUGCUGAAGAGCUCCUAAUGAUGCCAGCCAUCUACCUCCUGAAUAUCGUCAUAUUCGCUUGGUAGCUGACUCCCAUCAUCGAGAGUUCCACAAAGCACAAAGCAAGCAGCAUUCGAGCAUCGAAGAAUUCAUCUGACUCACUCUGGGUGAUAGCUCCGCUUGCUCUGCUCAUCCUCGGAAGUACCACCGAACUCUGCAACUCUUCCUCUCGCGGCUCUAACUACUCUUCCUCUAAGUACCACAGUACUCAUCUAGGUAUCUUCCCUAGCUUACUCCUUUACCCAAAUCCCCUAAAGGAUUUCUCUAAAUAUUCUCACUCAUCUCAUACUCAAAAGCACAUCGCAUAUCACAGCAAUUCCUAGGCUAAGGAAUCACAAAUCAGGCCACUCUAGUUCUAAGAUAUGGAUUACCUAGCCUGUCUCUAGCAUGCAAUAAUAUCUCAUGAAGUGCAUCAUAAAUAUCUCGUAACACAAAAGUAAGGGUAUUUUGGGAAAUCACCGUUCGGGCUCUGGCUGAUUGUACACACUGCUCUUUCUUGUUUUCUCUUUGAACUCUUAUUCGCUUUAGAAAAUUAUUUCUUUGAAAACUUUUCUUACUUCCUCAGUUUGAGUCCAGAAUUACCCGAAGGCGCAUCCGAAUCCCUCAAACCAAGGCUCUGAUACCAACUUGUAACACCGUAAAUUUCAAGACAAAUUUUUCAUUUAAAAUAAUCAUUUUAUUCUUAGAACACUUGUUUAAAAUCUCAUUCAUAAUCGAAUUACAAAACAUAGCUUCAUUUUCACUUGCAUAGAAAACCAGGAUCCUCCAAAAUAUGACUUUUUCUCUGGUGUGUACAAUCCAGUCGGUGCCGUCCCGUGAUACUGAAAGAAACCUGAAAACAACAUAACACAAAACACUGUAAGCACGAAGCUUAGUGAGUUCCCCAAAAUACCACACACAUAACACAUAUAAGCCACUCGAGGCUAUAACUCUAUGGGUCCGUGCACCCAAACUCUGUGAACCCUCAGGUUCUAACUCUGUGAACCUUCCGGUUCUAACUCUAGGAACCCUUCGGUUCCAACUCUGCAAACAUGCACAGCAUAAAUCACAUAGAAAUAAUGCAGUACAACACAUAACAUACAUAGCAUACAAAUACUCUGUCACAUAACU
RNAcentral lists this long non-coding RNA (6516 nucleotides) under Lactuca sativa (garden lettuce). Its description in RNAcentral is "long non-coding RNA (LSAT_LNC009526)". Lineage: Eukaryota; Viridiplantae; Streptophyta; Magnoliopsida; Asterales; Asteraceae. The record is from RNAcentral.